GACAGAGGGUGCAAACGUUGUUCGGAAUCACUGGGCGUAAAGCGUGUGUAGGCGGCUUCUCAAGUCGGGUGUGAAAUCCCAGGGCUCAACCCUGGAAGUGCAUUCGAAACUGGGUAGCUAGAGUACUGGAGAGGAAGGUGGAAUGCUUGGUGUAGAGGUGAAAUUCGUAGAUAUCAAGCGGAACACCGGUGGCGAAGGCGGCCUUCUGGACAGAUACUGACGCUGAGACACGAAAGCGUGGGGAGCAAACAGGAUUAGAUACCCUGGUAGUCCACGCCGUAAACGAUGAGUGCUAGAUGUCAGGAGCUUUGACCCUCUUGGCGUCGUAGCUAACGCAAUAAGCACUCCGCCUGGGGAGUACGGCCGCAAGGCUAAA
RNAcentral lists this ribosomal RNA (376 nucleotides) under uncultured bacterium. RNAcentral's name for it is "bacterial SSU rRNA". It matches the Rfam family "Bacterial small subunit ribosomal RNA", at positions 524 to 898 of the family's 1533-position model. The record is from RNAcentral.